Cucumis sativus (cucumber) is the source of this 975-nucleotide long non-coding RNA. RefSeq lists it as uncharacterized. The record is from RefSeq and is a predicted model, not a curated record. The transcript has 5 exons. Lineage: Eukaryota; Viridiplantae; Streptophyta; Magnoliopsida; Cucurbitales; Cucurbitaceae.
ACAUAAAAUGAUAGCACAAAGUCAAAAGAGAAUUACAGUCUCAGUUGUUUAAAAAAGUAGACAUGACGCAGAUAAGAUAACAAAAUCCCAUCAAGAAGCUGUUAAGAAUCUCAUAUGGACCGGACAUGGCCAAUAUCAGACUGCUUCGAGUUAUCACUGGAAACUCUUUCUGACAUUUCAGUAGAGCAACAGAAGAAAAAUUGGAAAGUGAGCUUGGUGAUGUGUUUUCAGGUAACUGGAAAUGGUAGCCCCAGAAAUUUUCCACUGACGAUUCUGUUUCAUUGAAAUCCUCUAACGCACUCUCCAUCGCAUUAGAGAACUGGUUUAUCACUUCCAUAUUGAAGGUCAUUUCUUCAGAUGCUUUGGAAGACUUGAAGUGUUGCAGAAGUUCUCUUUUGAGAAGCAUAGCUAGACUACAGAUGAUAUGAAGCAGAAGCCGACUAAAUUAGCAGGCCGAGUCUAUUGUAACGCCCACAAAAUUAUGGAUAAGUGGAAAAGAAGAGAGGAUCAAAUCACACAAGACAUCUCAUGCAAACGCUAUGCGAUGGAAACUAGCUUAGCGAUUAACAACCACAGGCAAGGAACCACGACAUCACAUGAGAAAAGCUCACUGGAAGACAAGGAUGAUAGUUGGAGUGAUGUGACUUUAAAGGGUCAGAUGCCAGCGUUGGCACACUAAGAGAAAUAGAAGUUUCCGUCGAAAAAAAUCCUAUACAUGCACUUCGUCUUCACCAAGAGGAGGAGGCCAGAAUAGGCCAAAAUGGCCCAAAGAGGGCAAAAGAGGUCGGAAUGGACCAUAAGCAGAGUUCAAGCAAGAGAAGAAUCAUUCUCCUGUUUUCCCUCUAACUUGUAGUAAUUUUCAUUCUUCUUUCUCUCCGUCUUUUUAUGUCAUUGUAAUAUAUGUGAUGUUCAUAUUGUACAUUGGCCAAAGGCCUAUAUUCUUUAUACAUAUAUUGCAUGUUUACCCCUUGUCAA